Molecule: ribosomal RNA, 348 nt
Filed under: uncultured eukaryote
Lineage: Eukaryota
Description: SSU rRNA
Rfam family: Eukaryotic small subunit ribosomal RNA
Source: RNAcentral
AUAGCGUAUAUUAAAGUUGUUGCCGUUAAAAAGCUCGUAGUCGAACUUCGGUCCCUGUUGGUCGGUCCGCCUUCUUGGUGUGUACUUACUCAAUGGGGACUUACCUCCUGGUGAGCUGCGAUGUCCUUUACUGGAUGUCGUAGGGAACCAGGACGUUUACUUUGAAAAAAUUAGAGUGUUCAAAGCAGGCCUACGCCCGAAUACAUUAGCAUGGAAUAAUAGAAUAGGACGCGCGUUCCCAUUUUGUUGGUUUCUGAGAUCGCCGUAAUGAUUAAUAGGGAUAGUUGGGGGCAUUGGUAUUGAGUCGCUAGAGGUGAAAUUCUUGGAUUGACUCAAGACCGACUAUUG